This 98-nucleotide small nucleolar RNA is filed under the name Phascolarctos cinereus (koala). Lineage: Eukaryota; Metazoa; Chordata; Mammalia; Diprotodontia; Phascolarctidae. The record is from RNAcentral.
CCUCUGUGAUGAGUUGCCAUGCUAAUACUGAAGCACCAGUGCUCUGCACUGGGUGUUCCUGAGUUAAACUUCACUUCUCUUGUAGACAUCUGAGGGGC